CCUCCUAUUAUCCAUACACCUUGUGCUGCACCGACAGUCGUUCAAAGCAAAGCAACUACGUCGCAUCGAAUCUCACCCGAAAAUGACCUUCCAAUCAAAAUUUGUGCAAGAUUUAUGCACAACCGAUACGGAAGCGCACGAGCAGCUGAUACAGCUCGCACAGAGCGAGCAAAUCUUCCUGCAGAAUGUGCACAAUCUGCACAAACCAUCGCUCGAAGCCCUGGUGUACGCGCUGCUGAUGAAGCAGCGGGGAAAACUACCCGCCUCGCUGCUGCAUGGCGUUAACCUGCAAACUAUCCUGUCGCUCGUGGACGGCAACCACGACCGCCUGCAAGGGGAUAGCGAUUCACUCCGCUGGACUUUGAGCGCCCUAGCGCUGACGGCACUGCUCGAGUCCGAUCUGCAGAUCGUGAUCCGGGAGCUGACAACGUUUGUGGAUCGGUUCGAGCGGGAGCUGCACGCAACGCCGGUCUACUAUGAUGUGUUGCAAACGUUUCUCAUCCUAGCACAAGAGCUUCCCGAGCUGGUUGCCAUCUGCAACCGAGCUAACGGUGCGGACAUGGUGCGCCGGUUGCAGUCGGACUCGAGGGUGAUGCGCACGAAAGCGUUGGCAUGUCUGCAAACGAUGAUGGAACUGAAUCCCGAUCUGGUCGAACAGUGGCUGUCCGAGACGCGCAGUCCGGCGCACCCGAUUGAACGGAAAGUGUUUCUGCUGCGUGAGCUGCUAGAAGCGUUGUUGCGGUGUACGGGCGACAGGAAAGCGGACAUACUGAGCGCAUUGCAGCUAGAUCACCUGUGGUUGGUCGUGUUCGAGGCGUUGGUCAGCAGGGACGCCGUGUGCCGAAUGGAAGCCGUAGCCAUUCUCCGACACGCCAUCGGUUACGCGAUGCACUGCGAAAUGAGUUUUACCGGACAGUACUUUGCCUGGUGGCCAGAGUGGGAGAAAUGCUGCGAUGCGUGGCAAUCGAUUGUUGCCGUACUGGAGAGGCUGGACGAAUUCAAACUAGCAGUGCCGAUGGAACAGAUCGAAAAGCUGUUGGUCCUGCUGCCCUGGGAGUGGAAAACUGUUCUGUUCCGUUUGCUCCUGGACCACACCAACGGCCAGGUGGUAAUGCAUGUUCACGACUAUUUUUUGAAGUAUCGCAAGUUCAACGCCACGGAGGCGGAGAUGGAAAAGCGACUGUUGGACGGCUUAAACCGAGCGCUACGGGCGGACGGUGGUAGUGUGCCGAAAGUUGUGAUUGACAAGCUGAGCAAGUACUACGGCACACAGGAAGCUUACGAUUAUCUAUUGCAAACAAUACCGGAACUCUCAUGGAACCCGGUCGCGUUCCAUUGCAUCGUCAGCGUAGUGCACCAAAGGACGUUCAAGCUGGCAGCGGAAUGCAAACGCAGGCAGGAAACGGCUGCAACGAUACGAUCGCUUACGAGCUGCGCUAAAGUAUGCCAUGAUAUUAAAAACUUGCCCCUGCGCUUCGCGGCCUUUGUGCUGCUGGUGCAUUGUGUCAAUCAGCUUGCCGAACCGACGACCGAUGCGGCCGUUCUGCUGGCCGUAGUCGCGGAAAUGCAGAAGCUUACCCCAAUGUUCGCCAUCACCCAGGAACACUUUCGCAGUCCGGAUGGCAGCUUGUUCCUGGACCGCCUAACGAAUGAUGCCCUGGAGCCGCACUGGGGAAGGGUCAGCCCUGCGGACACUUUUCUCAUCGAGCAGGUGCUGGUACAAAGAGCUAAAAACAGCCUAUACGCUUGCCUUGAGUUGAGUAGCCAUAUGCUGGAAUCGAAUAUUUCCGUUUGUUGCAAGCUGUUGGGACAUAUGCCCGAAUUAGUUAACAGCGUAUUUGAUAGCAUUUGCAAAAACUUUCAAUCUGCGGUGGACAGCAUCAGACAGGCGCAGGAAGCAGGCGAACGUAUACCGCAGCAAGCAUUCGCUGUGCGUGAGCAGCUGAUCGCUCUGCAGGAAGCAGUUGACAAGAGGAAAUUUGAUUAUCGGCCAAAUUUGAGCGGUAUGAUGAGGCUGAUGAAGGAAUUGCAAGCAUUCGUAGAUGAACGGUUGCAAAGCUUCGACUACGCAGACCAUGCAAGGGCGAUAGAAACGAUACAGCUAACACAUCUGAUCGCAUGGCACGAGGACUGUUGUGAAGUGGCUUCUCUUUUCUUCCAGUCCGUAUCCGUUCAAGAGCUCAAAAACAGUCUCGAUCGUCGCGGUGUGGGGGAAGCGCCAACGACCGAUCAAGUGUAUGCAAUGGUUGUGGAAAUUCACCUCAACUAUCGCCAGCAUGAGCAGAAUUUCAUUGAGAUAUACGAAACGGAAGAGCAUUGGUCGGGACUGCACAUCUUGUUUGAGAUCGAUAACGUCGACGUGUUAACGCUGGCGGUUGAGCUGCUUUACGCGGACUGCAUGAAAAUGGGAGAAGAAUGUUACGAAAACUCCAACCGAGUGAAUAUGAUCGAUCGCUGCUAUGAGAAAAUUUUAACCCACCACCAAUCGGAGGACCACUUCCUGACACUGAUGUCAAAAUUUGUGAAAAUGCUGCUCGAUCCAUUCUGUGCGGAGAACAUCGAAUAUGACGAUGUGUAUAUUCCUGACUUUGUUCUAAACUACGUGUCCAUGUUUUUCGAGCAGGGCACCAGCACCACCAACGAACUGCCGCUUAUUGUGCUGGAAUGCCUGGACGGCUUUCCGGACGAUUUUUUCCACUAUUGUGAUUGGAUAAUUAUCAAAAUUUUAGCACAGGGCAUGAUCUUUGGUAAGGGACCAAUGCGUGAUGCUAGCAGCCAAGUAGUGGAUGUGAUAAAACGGUUUGGUUUGGACGUACCGUUGAAAAAACGCUACCAAGCGGAUGGGCGUAUGGUUCGCGUGAUGUGCAGUUUGUUUCUCCAUCGAUUCAUCCAUUUCGAAGACGGUGCUUUUAACAGACUGGUGCCCAAGGUGGAAGAAUAUCUAAUGCAAUGUUUCUCGGAAUCUAAAAUGGUUUUGCAUCACGUACAUCGCUUCGAAAUCUCCCCUCAGCAGAAGCUUUGGGCGGUGCAAGCGCUGUGCAUAGCGGUGUCCAUCGCGGGCUGCAGCAAACCGGACGUCCUGCUGAAGGCACUGCUGUACGAAGCGAACCCGACCUGCAUACAGCGUCUGCUCGAGCUGAUCGUGGUGGACAGCGAGAUUAGCACGCUGGCCAUCGCCAACUCGCUCAAGGACGGGAAGGUGACGCCGGCCGGCAUAGAGUCGAUCUGCGGCAUCCUCUGGCUGCGCUGCUGUCGCGAUAAGACGCUCAAUAAUCAGUCUAUCUAUUUGUUAAUGCCCUGGACGAUGGCCGAAAGCUUCACCAUUGGCUUGUGGGCACAGAUCACUAUAAGCAAGCUGCUGGCACGGUUUGCACGUGCGGAUAAGCCGCAGUUCAAGCAAAUGUACACCAUGUUCAAACAAUCCCAUCAGCAGACUAACAUUAAGCCGCACGUUACACGGAUACUGCGGGACGUUCGAUUCCAACUUGACAGCAACUGUUUGCUAACGUUCGAGAACGUGUUUCACAACAUACCGAAGGCGGCCGGUGUACCGGCCGAGGACGUCGCAGGGACGGCGCUGCUGAAGGCAUGCGUUCAGCUGCUUGAUGGACUCGGCGAAAAAUUCCUCGGCAAAGCAAUGCGGGUGCAGAAACUGCCGCGGGAAGUGGUGGAAACCAACCGUGUGCCUUACCAACCGACAGACUGGACGGGCUACUUCGUCCCGCCAGAGCAUGCGAUCGUGCCGCUGAAGCGGUUGGAUCCGCGUCAAGAUCUGAUGCUUGAGCUGCCGUAUCGGUUGUACAAUUCGCAGCAAAAGAGGGAAGCUUCCAAAGGAUUGUACGUGGUAGCCAGUAACGUUACCGAUGUGCCCGAUCUGGCGGACCUUGCCAGAAUGGGCAAAUGCUUUGGAAUCAAGCAGCUGUUGAUCAACUCGCUGCAAGAUCUUGACAGCAAGCAGUUCAAGAUGCGUAGCGCGUCCGCCGAACAGUGGCAAACGGUGCGUGAACUGAAGGCCCACAAUGUGUACUCAUAUCUGUGGGACUUGCAGGACAAAGGUUACACGGUAGUGAACGUCAAACACACGGAAACCCCCCAGAGCACACCGCUCCAUCAGCUACAGUUGCCCAAAAAGUGUGUGCUUGUACUAAACCUGCUGGAGAGAUUUCCACACGCGGUCCUGAAUGUGUACAUACCGCCGAUUGGGGCUAAACGGUUGCUAACCGUUCCCGAAACGGCAGCCUUGUUGAUGUGGGAGUACGCGAAACAACACCACGCUGCCGCUAUGUAGGGUUGAUCCAUAGCAUCGGGGUAGUAUCCGGGCGCAGUUGGAAGUUGGAAAGGGAAAAAAACCAGGAGCUUUCAAUUAGUGGCGCUUUGAAUGCUGCGAAACAUAUUUUCAAUUGAAAUCGAGAUAUCGUUCCCCCUGUCCCUGUCCGGACAAGCCUCCGAAACGACAAGAGAGCGAGAAUGCAAAUGAGGCAUCCGCAGCAGCCGCCGUUAUCUCCGGUUGCGCUGCGUUCCAGUCUAAAACAUUGUUGUUCCCAUGCGA
Anopheles coluzzii is the source of this 4549-nucleotide RNA transcript. RefSeq lists it as uncharacterized. The transcript has 6 exons. Lineage: Eukaryota; Metazoa; Arthropoda; Insecta; Diptera; Culicidae. The record is from RefSeq and is a predicted model, not a curated record.